GUUACUCUACUAACCCCCAGUAGGUUACUCUACUACCCCCAGUAUGUUACUCUACUACCCCCAGUAGGUUAUUCUACUACCCCCAGUAUGUUACUCUAUUACCCUCCAGUAGGUUACUCUACUACCCCCCAGUAUGCUACAGUAUAUCUAAAGGGCCUGGUCCAAAUGAGAAGGAACAGUAGAAUAUGAUAAAGGCUUCAGUCUGAACCACAACCACAUACCUUUCUUUCAGAGAGGUUGUCAAUUGGGCACAUACAAAGAAUGACACCCUGAAGUACUAAGAGUUAAGGGGGAUAGAUGAGAGAGCGAAGAGUGAACUGGUGCGUCUAUUUGUGUCUUUUGAAGAGAGAAUCAUACACCAGAAAUCUCUUAAACCAUCGCUGUUAUUGCUCCAAAUAUUAACAACCUAUUUAGAGAAGGGUCCACACUAAUGUGGAAAGAUAUAUUAAAUUAUUUCCUGGUUGACUAUACUGCAUGUCUAGUCUGAAUUUAAGAUAAAUAUUGACUAUGAAUAUUAUUUAAUUAUCUUUUAAAUUAGUGUGUGGCACAGGAAAGGUGUCCAUACUGAGUGUUAUCCUUAACUAUGAUAUGAGAAAUAGUACAAUACAAUGUAACUGCCCCAUUUCAGUUUUUAUUAUUGGGCCCAUACUGCUAUUUUUUGCAGAACAUACAAUUUAUUUAUUGCUCAUCACACAUGAUUUUAUCAAUCAUGGCAUAUAAUUCAUGAAGUUACUAAAUGCCAGGUAGUUAAGUGUGAAUGAGAGAGUGAAUUUAAAGGUUAAGACUAAAGACACAUGGUAUGGCCAUACAGUUAUCCCAUUCAUGGACUGAAAUAUUCUUGACACUUGAAAAGGUUGAAUUACAUUGAAGAGUUUGUCUCAUUUUUUACAAUAUAUAUCCAGUGUACUGUUUUUGUGUAACUGAUACCUCUUUGUACAAAGAAGUAAUCAUUGAGCUUUUGUACUGUCGUUAACUGAAGUCCUCAAUGUAUUUACCUGUAUUUCGAUUAAAA
Molecule: long non-coding RNA, 1012 nt
Organism: Oncorhynchus tshawytscha (Chinook salmon)
Lineage: Eukaryota; Metazoa; Chordata; Actinopteri; Salmoniformes; Salmonidae
Source: Ensembl